UACGUAGGGGGCAAGCGUUGUCCGGAAUUAUUGGGCGUAAAGAGCUCGUAGGCGGUUUGUCGCGUCUGCCGUGAAAGUCCGGGGCUCAACUCCGGAUCUGCGGUGGGUACGGGCAGACUAGAGUGAUGUAGGGGAGACUGGAAUUCCUGGUGUAGCGGUGAAAUGCGCAGAUAUCAGGAGGAACACCAAUGGCGAAGGCAGCUCGCUGGAACGGUACUGACGCUGAGGCGCGAAAGCGUGGGGAGCGAACAGG
RNAcentral lists this ribosomal RNA (253 nucleotides) under uncultured bacterium. RNAcentral's name for it is "partial 16S ribosomal RNA". It matches the Rfam family "Bacterial small subunit ribosomal RNA", at positions 524 to 776 of the family's 1533-position model. The record is from RNAcentral.